UAUAAUAAUUAGUAUAAUUAAAAGGAAAGUUAUAUAAAUACAGGAAAUAUAUAUAAAUAAUAAUAUAUUUUAUAUUUAUAUAUAAAUAUAUAUAAUAUAACCUAUAAUAUUUUAUAAUAUAAUUAAAUUAUAUUUAUUUACCUUUUAAGGUAAUAUAUUUAAUUAUAUAGUUAAAUAAAUAUACUAAACAUAUGCUUAUUAAUUAUAUAAUAAUUAUUAUUUAAUA
Molecule: non-coding RNA, 226 nt
Filed under: Barnettozyma californica
Lineage: Eukaryota; Fungi; Ascomycota; Saccharomycetes; Phaffomycetales; Phaffomycetaceae
Source: RNAcentral